RNAcentral lists this long non-coding RNA (5735 nucleotides) under Podarcis lilfordi (Lilford's wall lizard). Lineage: Eukaryota; Metazoa; Chordata; Lepidosauria; Squamata; Lacertidae. The record is from RNAcentral.
GUGGAGCUGCAUACAAAUAUUGACAGAACACAGUGGUAUUUGUUAAGCUGGAUCUUGGGAAGUGAAUGAUUAAAACUCUGAAGGAAGAUCUGAAAACUUCAGAGCUUCCCUCCUCCCUCUCCUCAAGAAUCUUUAACAGUGUUUAACAGAGUGAAAGUGAAAAUGCUGAGCUUGGUUAAAUGAAAGCCCUGACCUUCUUUUCCUCUGCCUUUGCCUUGCUGUAGGUAAGGACAAACUUCUUGAAAUGUUUUCGUUCCUGCAUGUUUUUUUAAUCCCAUUAUGAAUUAGUGGUUGUUUAAUGUGUGGUAGUAUUGAAAGGGGCUGGGAAUGCUUUUGAUUUAAUUCUGUGAUUUGGGCAAAAGUUAUGAGACAAUCUUUGUAAAUAGACAGACUGUGUUAGCCAGUAGCUAUGCACCAUCAAAUGUUAAUACUACUUUUCUCACAGUUCCAUUACAGUAAGUGAUAGGUGCAUGAAUCUCCUCAGACAUUUUAAAGACAUACUUAGAUCCAAAUAUCUGGGACACAUGAAAUUCACCUCAGAAUUCCACCUAGUGGUGUUCAACUGAGAGUUCAAAGUUUGCUGCCUGGGUUGUACCUGCAAAACAUUAUUGUCUCCAUCACAUAGUUAAUCACUGUCAUACUGCUUUCUAGUGCCAAUGAAAGGGUACUGAAAAACCUGUUUGACUUAAGGUUUUAUUUUAACUUGAGAGACUCUUGAAACAUUGGAAUAUUUCCCCCCACUGUGUAUGCUACUUUGAAGAAAUCACCGGAUGACUGAAAAAGUGUAUACUAAACAUUGUCCUGAAAUGGGCUUUUUGUAAGAACACAAUUUAUUUAUUUAUAUCUAGAGAGAAUGAAAUAGACCUAUGAUGCAGUCAAAAUUUUGAUAUCCAUGAGGAUUACCGGCUGCUUGUUGCUUCCAAUUGCUGCAUACUAGCACUCAAAACUGCAGAAGCCUGAUGAUUGCUUUCCAUCUCAGUUGCUUAUCACCAGUCUUUGGGGCUUCAUCUUUUUUCAAUGUAAGCAAAGCAUCUUUCAUGCCAUGGGAUCAUGUUGCAAUAGGAGGGUUUUGGUUAAAUAUGCCUUAUUAAUCUUUAAUGUAUAAGUAGCACUGAGCAUUUGCCAAAUGGAAACAUUUAAGCAACACCUCAUGUAUCCAUUGCCAAAAUAAAUGCUGGCAGGCUACAAAAUAAUAUUUUUAAAAGAAUUUUGCAACAAACUUCAACAUGUGGGUUCAAAUAUUUCACGAUCCUUUGAUGCAUCUUGGAAAACGUGCAAAUGCAAGUUUGCCUAUUAAAAUCCUACAGUUGGGGGCUGGAAGUUUGCAAGCGUUCCUCUGAUUGAAUAGCACUUAUUCAUGAAGCAGGUCUAGUUGAGCUCAAUGAAACAGCUUGUUUGAAUCAGCACUACGCGUCAUUAGAGUUAAGUAGAAUUAGGCUCAUAAGGAAUGUUUAUGGGCAUAUGAUGUAUAUGUCUGAUUAAUAUUGAAAGCUACCUUCACAGAGCAACAUGUUAAUAAACAUAAUCACAUUUUGUGGAAUGUCUUUUAAGAAAAGCAGAGAUACACAGGGUGAGAUGGGAUUAGAAGCUGAAGUUUUUGGAUUGCCUCUCUUUACUUAAAACAUUGGCCUUAUCCGCAGUAUUACCCUGCCAUGGUAUUUUAUUUGUAUCACAACUGCCAAGAAGCUCAGGGGGCUUUACAUAGUUUCUCCCAUUUUAUCUACACAGUGAUCUUGUGAUUUAGUUAUGGUGGUAUUGACUGGCCUUAGUGAAACUCAGAAGUUGAAAAGGGUCUCUGUGGUCCAAGCAGAUUGGUGUGGAUUGCCUUUUUUCCAGCUGUGGCUGGUUUGCCCACAAUGAAUGUUUAUAGCCAGGGGUAAUCUAGCCACACUGGGCUAUUAUCUGGAAACCUCCUGUGUAGACUACUGUAUGUGGGGCUGCCCUUGAAGAGGACUCAUAAGCUUCAAUUAGCACAGAAGGCAGCUGCCAGAAUUUUAACCAGCAAGAUUGGCUCACUAAAUGAAUUACUGUACAUUGGCUGCCUAGUUGCUUCUGAGCUAAUGUAAAGGCACAGAUGCUAACCUUGAAAGUGCUAAAACUCUUGGUACUCAAAUAGCUGAAUAUACUCCUCUUUGGGCAAAAACAAGCCUGGCUAUGCUUUAAGAUUUGCAGAGAAGGGUCUUCUUUGUGCCCCACUGGUAAGGAAAGUUCAUUUUGUGGUGAUGUGGAUGAAGCCUUUUCCUCAAUUGUGCCUAUUUAUGUCAUGCCCUCCUACUAGAAACACAACAGGUACUUCUUCAUAUGUAGUAGGAACAUUAGAAUAUAUAAGUAGGGCUAUGUUGCAUAAUGCCCAAGAGUAACAUUCCUUCUGAGCACCACAAAGAUUCAAGGGUAGUGCUGAUAUCUCCUUGACAAUUCUUUACAAACUCAAAGGCCACUUUAUGAUGUGUGGACCAACUGAGGGGUCAUCACCUCAUUAAAUGAAAACCUGUUACCUUACCAACAUGGCCACGCAAUAAGGCCACAUCAAAGCACAAAUAAAAAGAGCUACUGUUCCAGAGGGAUUUGUGAGGUAUGCUAGAGAAAACCAUAAGGAAGCUGAAUGCCUCAAACACACUCAUUUGUUCCAAUACAUUUGCUGGCCAUACUCUUUAUUGGGAGGCUGCUGAAAGAUGUACACAAAACUAAAUGCUUUUCUCCUGGGUUAGCAGUCCAAAUCUGUCAUUGAUGGUUAGGGAAGAAAUUUAGCAGACAGAUGCAGUAAAUAUUUUUUUCUGAAAGCAGAAGCAGUUUGUUGCAGGGGUUAAAAAACCCAACCAAAGGGUAUGGUAUUUGUAGGACAUCGGGUGAGUUAAUAUGUAGCAACAUUUGCAUUUCCUAUUGCAUUCUAGACUGAUCACAUGCACACACAUUCGCACAGAUACACAUAGCAAUUGUGAGGCAUUAGGACAAUGGUGGCCAAUUUGCUUCUCCUUCUUUCUCUUUGUUUGAUAUGUGUGCCACAAAUCAAUCCAAACUGUGGCAUAGUGCCAUCCUGUUGUGCUCUGCAGUGCAUUAGCAAGGUUUUCUGGUACAUUUAGAUAUGGGUUGAAUAAAAUGGCAUGUUUUUCUUGUCUGCUGGGCUUGGAACAGCUAGCACAGGAGAGUCAGCCGGCCGAACUAUGCUAUAACCAGGUCUGUAGGUCGUUGAGGGAGGGGGACACACAACUUUCGGUACCUGUGAAACCCAUGCCUCCAGACAGGGCUCCUGUGCAUUAGGAACAGCGAUUAUAAAAUCAAAAGCAAUGCUGAUUGUUGAACGCAUUCUGCUUCUCCUAGAUUCGGUAGUGCAAAGCACAAGAAGUUUUUGGUCAACAAACAUACACAUGCAAAUUAAAUAGUAUCUGUAAUUCUUCCUGAGGAAAUAAUGUGAUCUGUCUUGGUAUAUAACUUGAACUUUGUAGUGUAACAGACAAGGGAACCUGUGACCUAUCUAUGGUUGCACUACAAUGUCCAUCAGGCCUGACCACUGGCUAUGCUGGAAUCCAGCAAUGUCUAGAGAGUCACAGGUCCCCCAUCCCUGUAGUACAGGGCAGACCUAAACAUGCCUGAUAAUUUUCUAACAUUUAAGUCUUGCACUUUUACAGUGCCAACUAUAGAUCCUUCCUACCUAAAAGAUACACCUAUCUGGCAAACAAUUUAGGUUAGAACUGCAGCACAGCCUUAACUGGAUGGUUGUUCCUGGACAAGGCUGAAUGGGAGAAAUAAUCAUAGUAAGCAUAUGUGAAGCAUCCUGAUUAACAUCACAGAGUCCUUGGCACCAACCCUGGUCUCAAAAUCCAGACUUUAACGGGAAUUUUGCCCAAGCUGGGACUACAGGAUCCACUUCUUGUAACAGCAAACAGAUGUUCACUUACAUUUUUUGGAGCUGAUUUUGUGCCCCCCCCCUUCCACUCUAUUUCCCUGCUCUCUGUACACUGUAGUGUUCCAUUGGGCUUCUCAAUAUAGUCACUAGCAUUUCAUGCCUUUGGCAUAGAAGAAAACAGCUAAGUUUUGGGAAGUUGCCUUGUUAAGACUUUGUAAAAAAUUAUUUUACAAACACUUUCACAUUGACAGCAGGAAUGGGACAUAGCCUGCAAUCAUAGUAGGUUAUGAAAGAGCAUUAUGGAAUCACCAUGAAAGCUGUCAAAGUCAUAUAUAUAUAUCCCACACUGCUAGCAAUUGGAAAGACACUGUAAAGGUGCAAAAGUGUUAGGAUAGGAAAGUUCUAUUUGUCUUGGUGAACUGGACCAACACUCCAUUUUUCGUGCUGUUGCAAUGCAGUGUGACCAAUCUGAAACAACUGGCUCACAUGUGCAUUAGAAUGUAUGUACAAAUGUUUAACUCGGUUGUGGGGAUUACAGCUUCAAACCCCUUUCUUAACCUUCCACUUUAUUAGAUAACCUUGAACAGACUACUCUUUCUUGGUCUCUCAACCAAGGCAGGACAAAUGACACCUAGAAUUUUGUAGCUCUCAAGAUGGAUGGGGCUUAACUAUCUUAUUGUUCUUCCUAAACUACAGCUUUCUUACCUGAAGUGUAAUUUACUGAUAGUCUCUUAGAAACCACAAAGCUGUUUCUCCUAAAAUGAGGAAUCAUCCCACCUCUCAAGUAUAAAAUCCAGCACUGUAGUCUGAUGGACUGGAAUUUAACUCUUCUUGCACAGCAGUAAUUAACACUGAUAAAUGAGAGGGCACGUCCGUGAAAGACCUUGGCAAGCAAAGCACAUUGCUGUGGUUUGCUAAAUGCUACUCAUGCUGCCUUAAUGGAAUUAUUGCUUUCUAAAACAUGAGUGCUUUUCCUUGUCAGAGGACCACAAUCAUCUUCCAGAGCAAAGGAGUUCCUCCUCCCCUUCUUUUUCUGUGUGGUGUGAACCACUAAAUAUAAACAGAGUAUCAUGUUUAGAACUACUACUACUGUGGUAAGCCACAUGAAUUUUGUGUUUUGUCAUUCUAUCACAUUGGAUAUUCAAGCCAUAUACAGUGGUACCUCGGGUUACAGACGCUUCAGGUUACAUAUGCUUCAGGUUACAGACGCUUCAGGUUACAGACUCUGCUAACCCAGAAAUAGUACCUCGGGUUAAGAACUUUGCUUCAGGAUGAGAACAGAAAUCGUGCAGCGGCGGGGUGGCAGCGGCAGUGGGAGGCCUCAUUAGUUAAAAUGUUACCUCAGGUUAAGAACAGUUUCAGGUUAAGAACGGAUCUCCAGAACGAAUUAAGUUCUUAACCCGAGGUACCACUGUACUUCAUUAUUUGAGGUUUGCUUGAGGAUUACAGAUUAGCUUGUUGCAUUGGGGGAGUCUCCCACAGCAGCUGGGAUGGUUCAUGUAGAGAGGAGGGAAGGAUGAGAGGGAAGGGGCAAGACUGUUCCGGUCACAAUGAAUCUAAGGUCCAUUCCUCAUCUGACUUUUAUUGGAUGAAUACAAUUCAAAACAGCACCUAAGCCCCACUACUUUAUGCCUUGACCAGCCAUGAACUUCACAUUGGCCUGGACAGAAUGCUAGCUCCUAACCUGCUGCACAGUGACUAACCAUUAUUCUUGAAGAUGGUUGAGAAACUGCUGCUGGUACAGUUGGGUGCAGGUGUCUGAUUGUUGAAUGGGGCAGCAAAAUGAGACCAUAUAUUACUCAUUUUAUUCUUAUUAUUCUUGUUCUUUUUUAAAUUAAAUUUCUAUACUUCCCUUGAUCAGAGGAUCACAGCAGCUGGCAGUAGCAGCAGC